UGUCCGUAACUUAGGGAAAAGGACUGCCACUGGUUGUGAGGGCGACUAGCUUGUCUGAGCGAUUGGUGGUCGCAGCGAAAUGGCUCUGCCGACUGUUUAACAAAAACACAGGUCUCUGCGAAAGCGAAAGCUGACGUAUAGGGGCUGACGCCUGCCCAGUGCCGGAAGGUUAAGGGGAGAUGUGAUGAGCAUUGAACCGAAGCCCCGGUGAACGGCGGCCGUAACUAUAACGGUCCUAAGGUAGCGAAAUUCCUUGUCGGGUAAGUUCCGACCCGCACGAAAGGCGUAACGAGCAGAGCACUGUCUCAACAAGGGACCCGGCGAAGUUGAAAUAGCGGUGAAGAUGCCGUUUACCCGCAGCAGGACAAAAAGACCCCGUGGAGCUUUACUGUAGCUUGACAUUGAGUUAGGGCUUUGUCUGUGUAGGAUAGGUGUGAGGCUGUGAAGCUGGUCCGCUAGGAUCGGUGGAGUCGACGUUGAAAUACCACCCUGAUGGAGUCUUGGCUCUAACCUGUGGCCCUAAUCGGGCAUGGGGACAGUGUCUGGUAGGCAGUUUGACUGGGGCGGUCGCCUCCUAAAGAGUAACGGAGGCGCCCAAAGGUUCCCUCAGGCUGAAUGGAAACCAGCCGCAGAGUGUAAAGGCAUAAGGGAGCUUGACUGCGAGACAAACAAGUCGAGCAGAGACGAAAGUCGGGCUUAGUGAUCCUACGGUUCCGAGUGGAAGGGCCGUGGCUUAACGGACAAAAGCUACCCCGGGGAUAACAGGCUGAUCUCCUCCAAGAGUUCACAUCGACGAGGAGGUUUGGCACCUCGAUGUCGGCUCGUCGCAUCCUGGGGCUGAAGUAGGUCCCAAGGGUCCGGCUGUUCGCCGGUUAAAGCGGUACGCGAGCUGGGUUCAGACCGUCGUGAGACAGGUCGGUCUCUAUCCGCUGUGGGCGAAGGGGAUUUGAGAGGGGCUGCCCCUAGUACGAGAGGACCGGGGUGGACAGACCGCUGGUGUACCAGUUGUCUCGCCAGAGGCAUGGCUGGGUAGCUAAGUCUGGCAGCGAUAACCGCUGAAAGCAUCUAAGUGGGAAACGCGCCUCAAGAUGAGAUCCCCCACUGUAAAAGGGUAAGUGCACCGGGAGACUACCGGUUAGAUAGGCGGCAGGUGUACGCACUGUGAGGUGUUGAGCCGAGCCGUACUAAUGCACGAGGACUUA
Molecule: ribosomal RNA, 1202 nt
Filed under: metagenome
Description: bacterial LSU rRNA
Rfam family: Bacterial large subunit ribosomal RNA
Source: RNAcentral